AAUCAACGCUGGCGGCGCGCCUAACACAUGCAAGUCGAACGAGAAAGCCUCCUUCGGGAGGUGAGUACAGUGGCGAACGGGUGAGUAACACGUGGGUUACCUGCCCUCGAGUGGGGAAUAACCUUGGGAAACCGGGGCUAAUACCGCAUACGAUCUAAGGAUGAAAGCUUUAUGCGCUCGAGGAGGGACCCGCGGUCGAUUAGCUUGUUGGUGAGGUAACGGCUCACCAAGGCAACGAUCGAUAGCCGGCCUGAGAGGGCACACGGCCACACUGGCACUGAGACACGGGCCAGACUCCUACGGGAGGCAGCAGUGGGGAAUCUUGGACAAUGGGGGAAACCCUGAUCCAGCGACGCCGCGUGAUCGAUGAAGGCCUUCGGGUCGUAAAGAUCUUUCAGCGGGGACUAUUAUGAAGGUACCCGCAGAAGCAGGAGCGGCUAACUAUG
Molecule: ribosomal RNA, 446 nt
Filed under: uncultured Bryobacterales bacterium
Lineage: Bacteria; Pseudomonadati; Acidobacteriota; Terriglobia; Bryobacterales
Description: bacterial SSU rRNA
Rfam family: Bacterial small subunit ribosomal RNA
Source: RNAcentral